UACGGAGGGGGCUAGCGUUGUUCGGAAUUACUGGGCGUAAAGGGCGCGUAGGCGGCGAUUCAAGGCAGGCGUGAAAGGCCUGGGCUCAACCCGGGAACUGCGUUUGAUACUGGAUUGCUGGAGUCCGGGAGAGGAUGGCGGAAUUCCCAGUGUAGAGGUGAAAUUCGUAGAUAUUGGGAAGAACACCGGUGGCGAAGGCGGCCAUCUGGACCGGAACUGACGCUGAGGCGCGAAAGCUAGGGGAGCAAGCAGG
Molecule: ribosomal RNA, 253 nt
Filed under: uncultured bacterium
Lineage: Bacteria
Description: partial 16S ribosomal RNA
Rfam family: Bacterial small subunit ribosomal RNA
Source: RNAcentral